GGGGGAUUGGUCUAGUGGUAUGAUGCUUGCUUUGGGUGCAAGAUGUCCCGGGUUCAAUUCCCGGAUCCCCCC
Transfer RNA from Hanseniaspora valbyensis NRRL Y-1626, 72 nucleotides. It matches the Rfam family "tRNA". From Rfam's summary of the family: Transfer RNA (tRNA) molecules are approximately 80 nucleotides in length. Their secondary structure includes four short double-helical elements and three loops (D, anti-codon, and T loops). NCBI's taxonomy places the organism in Eukaryota, Fungi, Ascomycota, Saccharomycetes, Saccharomycodales, Saccharomycodaceae. The record is from Rfam.